GACCGCGACCAUACCACGUUGGAAAUACCGGUUUGCGGCUGAUCACCGAAGUUAAGCUAUUUCGGACCCGGUUAGUAUUUGUGUGGCUGACUGACUGGGAAUACCGGAUGUUGCAGCCA
This 119-nucleotide ribosomal RNA is filed under the name Echinostoma caproni. Lineage: Eukaryota; Metazoa; Platyhelminthes; Trematoda; Plagiorchiida; Echinostomatidae. The record is from RNAcentral.